RNAcentral lists this ribosomal RNA (468 nucleotides) under uncultured bacterium. RNAcentral describes it as "partial 16S ribosomal RNA". It matches the Rfam family "Bacterial small subunit ribosomal RNA", at positions 28 to 507 of the family's 1533-position model. The record is from RNAcentral.
GACGAACGCUGGCGGCGUGCUUAACACAUGCAAGUCGGACGGAAAGGCCCUGCUCUUGUGGGGUGCUCGAGUGGCGAACGGGUGAGUAACACGUGAGUAACCUGCCCUUGACUUUGGGAUAACUUCAGGAAACUGGGGCUAAUACCGGAUAGGAGCUCCUGCUGCAUGGUGGGGGUUGGAAAGUUUCGGCGGUUGGGGAUGGGCUCGCGGCUUAUCAGCUUGUUGGUGGGGUAGUGGCUUACCAAGGCUUUGACGGGUAGCCGGCCUGAGAGGGUGACCGGCCACAUUGGGACUGAGAUACGGCCCAGACUCCUACGGGAGGCAGCAGUGGGGAAUAUUGCACAAUGGGCGGAAGCCUGAUGCAGCAACGCCGCGUGCGGGAUGACGGCCUUCGGGUUGUAAACCGCUUUCGCCUGUGACGAAGCGUGAGUGACGGUAAUGGGUAAAGAAGCACCGGCUAACUACGUG